This 794-nucleotide ribosomal RNA is filed under the name Phyllodytes sp. 3 BLB-2020. RNAcentral's name for it is "partial 16S ribosomal RNA". It matches the Rfam family "Bacterial large subunit ribosomal RNA", at positions 1469 to 2563 of the family's 2925-position model. Lineage: Eukaryota; Metazoa; Chordata; Amphibia; Anura; Hylidae. The record is from RNAcentral.
UUAACCCUACUGAGUAAUUCUAUAUUAUUAUAGAACCUAUAAUGUUAGAACUAGUAACAAGAAGAAGCCCUUCUCUUGAAUGCAAGUAUAAAUCAGCAAGGACUCACCACUGAUAAUUAACACACAUGAAAUUACAUUAGCAACUUCUCAAGAAAACCCUAAUAAAUCUUAUGUUACCCUAACACAAGAGCAUUAAAAGAAAGAUUAAAAAAAAAAGAAGGAACUCGGCAAACAAUGACCCCGCCUGUUUACCAAAAACAUCGCCUCUUGAAUAACUAUAAGAGGUCCAGCCUGCCCAGUGAUUUAUUCAACGGCCGCGGUAUCUUAACCGCGCGAAGGUAGCAUAAUCAAUUGUUCUUUAAAUGGGGACUUGUAUGAAUGGCACCACGAAGGUUAUACUGUCUCCUUUUUUUAAUCAGUGAAACUAAUCCCCCCGUGAAGAAGCGGGAAUAAGAAUAUAAGACGAGAAGACCCUAUGGAGCUUCAAACUAAAUAACAAAUAUUAAUAAUUAAAAAUUUUUUCAGAACAAAAACCUUUAUCCCUAUAUUAUGAUUAAUAGUUUUAGGUUGGGGCGACCGCGGAGUAUAAUUUAACCUCCACACUGAAAGAACUCUCUUCUGAACCAAGAGCUACGACUCUAAGUACCAACAAAUUGACACCAUUUGACCCAAUAUUUUGAUCAACGAACCAAGUUACCCUAGGGAUAACAGCGCAAUCUACUUCAAGAGAUCCUAUCAAAAAGUAGGCUUACGACCUCGAUGUUGGAUCAGGGCAUCCCAGUGGUGCAGCCGCU